This 479-nucleotide ribosomal RNA is filed under the name Enterococcus faecalis. RNAcentral's name for it is "bacterial SSU rRNA". It matches the Rfam family "Bacterial small subunit ribosomal RNA", at positions 65 to 520 of the family's 1533-position model. The record is from RNAcentral. Lineage: Bacteria; Bacillati; Bacillota; Bacilli; Lactobacillales; Enterococcaceae.
UUCUUUCCUCCCGAGUGCUUGCACUCAAUUGGAAAGAGGAGUGGCGGACGGGUGAGUAACACGUGGGUAACCUACCCAUCAGAGGGGGAUAACACUUGGAAACAGGUGCUAAUACCGCAUAACAGUUUAUGCCGCAUGGCAUAAGAGUGAAAGGCGCUUUCGGGUGUCGCUGAUGGAUGGACCCGCGGUGCAUUAGCUAGUUGGUGAGGUAACGGCUCACCAAGGCCACGAUGCAUAGCCGACCUGAGAGGGUGAUCGGCCACACUGGGACUGAGACACGGCCCAGACUCCUACGGGAGGCAGCAGUAGGGAAUCUUCGGCAAUGGACGAAAGUCUGACCGAGCAACGCCGCGUGAGUGAAGAAGGUUUUCGGAUCGUAAAACUCUGUUGUUAGAGAAGAACAAGGACGUUAGUAACUGAACGUCCCCUGACGGUAUCUAACCAGAAAGCCACGGCUAACUACGUGCCAGCAGCGGCGG